This is a long non-coding RNA of Perca flavescens (yellow perch), 253 nucleotides long. RefSeq lists it as uncharacterized. The transcript has 2 exons. Lineage: Eukaryota; Metazoa; Chordata; Actinopteri; Perciformes; Percidae. The record is from RefSeq and is a predicted model, not a curated record.
GCUUACUGGGACACUUGAUGGAACUGAGCCAUCGUUAAGUUUUUUGGAACCUGACUCCAGCCGCCACUCGCUCCUGCCAUCCACCAUUCUGCCCGCUACUACUGGACCUCACUACCGACUGAACGCUCACACCUGGAUACACGGACACUCCUGAUUGGAACCCUUGGACCUGUACCCAUCUGAAAACCUGGACUUGCUUCCCCUUUCUGAAACAUGGACAAUUAAGUACUGCAAUAAAUUUGUUUAACUGUUA